AUUGAACGCUGGCGGCAGGCUUAACACAUGCAAGUCGAACGAGUGGCGGACGGGUGAGUAAUGCUUGGGAAUCUAGCUUAUGGAGGGGGAUAACUACGGGAAACCGUAGCUAAUAGCGCGUCCCAUGGGUUGAGCCCGAUGGGGAUUAGGUAGUUUGUGAGGUAAAGGCUCACAAAGCCGUCGAUCUCUAGCUGGUCGGAGAGGAUGACCAGCCACACUGGGACUGAGACACGGCCCAGACUCCUACGGGAGGCAGCAGUGGGGAAUAUUGCGCAAUGGGGGCAACCUGACGCAGCCAUGCCGCGUGAAUGAAGAAGGCCUUCGGGUUGUAAAGUUCUUUCGGUAGCGAGGCGUUAUCUACAUAAGAAGCACCGGCUAACUCCGUGCCAGCAGCCGCGGUAAUAC
Molecule: ribosomal RNA, 405 nt
Filed under: uncultured bacterium
Lineage: Bacteria
Description: partial 16S ribosomal RNA
Rfam family: Bacterial small subunit ribosomal RNA
Source: RNAcentral